UACGGGGGGGGCAAGCGUUGUUCGGAUUCAUUGGGCGUAAAGGGUGCGUAGGCGGCGCGGUAAGUCGGGUGUGAAAUCCCGGGGCUUAACUCCGAAACUGCAUUCGAUACUGCCGUGCUUGAGGACUGGAGAGGAGACUGGAAUUUACGGUGUAGCGGUGAAAUGCGUAGAUAUCGUAAGGAAGACCAGUGGCGAAGGCGGGUCUCUGGACAGUUCCUGACGCUGAGGCACGAAAGCGUGGGGAGCGAACAGG
RNAcentral lists this ribosomal RNA (253 nucleotides) under uncultured bacterium. Its description in RNAcentral is "partial 16S ribosomal RNA". It matches the Rfam family "Bacterial small subunit ribosomal RNA", at positions 524 to 776 of the family's 1533-position model. The record is from RNAcentral.